ACGGUUAGCGUUACCGCUGACCUUUAUCUUAGAUCUAAAUUCUAAUUUAAUUACUAUUAUCUACCUAAAUAAAUAUACUUAAAUAAUAAAAUAUCUAAAUCUACGUAAACUACCUAACUAAAUAACUUAAUUAAAUAAUUCAUAAUGUUCUACACUAAUCAAAUAAAUAAAAUAAUAAAUCUACAAGCAAACCCGCGCGAAACAAGUUGUUAAAUAUUUCUUUUGUUCUCUGUCGAGCGGGCGGGCUGUUUUUUAUGCAUGCGCAAGCGACGCGCCUACGGCCUCGAUGCUCCCGCCGCGUCUCGUAGUCCGAGCCAGAGCGUUAUUGAGCACGGACGUAUCGCUGUCCGUCACCGCCGGACCCGCGAUGUACGUAACUUUAUAAAACUCCAAAAUGUAAUCGCGUAUUCGUGAACCCCGCUACCGGGGUUCACGUUCACCUACAUCUUCUACGCCUACCUACUACACCAUGCAUGGUCACCACUGCCGAACCUACCACCUGGCUCUUCAACCCGGCAGAGCUGCCUGCCGUGUCGGACGGCCCGUGCGCACACUCUAAGUGGCCCUACACCACAGUGCGUACGGCCCUAGCCGUCUGGCGCGUCGACGACUCUGCGGGCCUACCAACUCGAGGAACCAAACCACAUAACCAUCAAUGCUAGCGAGGACAGUGGUUUGAAUAUACUACCACCGGUGACGAAUCUCGUGCGAUACGAUAGUUUGCUCGACAACCCACUCCCUAAGAGUUCUCACUACUUUAAAUCUAAAUAAAUUACUUGUUAACCUAAA
This is a long non-coding RNA of Ostrinia nubilalis (European corn borer), 789 nucleotides long. RefSeq lists it as uncharacterized. The record is from RefSeq and is a predicted model, not a curated record. The transcript is spliced from 2 exons. Lineage: Eukaryota; Metazoa; Arthropoda; Insecta; Lepidoptera; Crambidae.